GGGGGAUAUUGCACAAUGGGGGAAACCCUGAUGCAGCAACGCCGCGUGAAGGAAGAAGGUCUUCGGAUUGUAAACUUUUGUCUUGCGGGACGAAUAAUGACGGUACCGCAGGAGGAAGCCACGGCUAACUACGUGCCAGCAGCCGCGGUAAUACGUAGGUGGCGAGCGUUGUCCGGAAUUACUGGGUGUAAAGGGUGCGUAGGCGGAUUUGCAAGUCAGGUGUGAAAACUAUCGGCUUAACCGGUAGCCUGCACUUGAAACUGUGAGUCUUGAGUGGUGAAGAGGUAAGCGGAAUUCCUAGUGUAGCGGUGAAAUGCGUAGAUAUUAGGAGGAACACCAGUGGCGAAGGCGGCUUACUGGGCACUAACUGACGCUGAGGCACGAAAGCAUGGGGAGCAAAC
This 401-nucleotide ribosomal RNA is filed under the name uncultured bacterium. RNAcentral describes it as "bacterial SSU rRNA". It matches the Rfam family "Bacterial small subunit ribosomal RNA", at positions 356 to 773 of the family's 1533-position model. The record is from RNAcentral.